AAUCAUUAGUCUCUUAAUUGGUGACUUGUAUGAAAGAUUGGAUGAAAUAUAAACUGUCUUAAAAAUAUUUUAUUGAAUUUAAUUUUUUAAUUAAAAAGUUAAAAUAUAUUAAAAAGACGAGAAGACCCUAUAGAGUUUUAUAUUAUUAUUAUUUUAAAUUAUUUAUAAAUAUUAAUUAUUUGUAAAUUAUAAUAAUAUUUUAUUGGGGUGAUGAAAAAAUAAAUUUAACUUUUUUUAAAAAAAUUCAUAGAUAAGUGAUUAAAUGAUCCAAUUUUAUUGAUUAUAAGAAAAAAUUACCUUAGGGAUAACAGCGUAAUUUUUUUUUUUAGUUCUUAUAAGAAAAAGAGUUUGCGACCUCGAU
RNAcentral lists this ribosomal RNA (361 nucleotides) under Salassa lemaii. Its description in RNAcentral is "partial 16S ribosomal RNA". The record is from RNAcentral. Lineage: Eukaryota; Metazoa; Arthropoda; Insecta; Lepidoptera; Saturniidae.